This 235-nucleotide long non-coding RNA is filed under the name Elaeis guineensis (African oil palm). RNAcentral describes it as "long non-coding RNA (EGUI_LNC004808)". Lineage: Eukaryota; Viridiplantae; Streptophyta; Magnoliopsida; Arecales; Arecaceae. The record is from RNAcentral.
GGCCUGCCAUCGAUGUUUCAGGUUUGCUGAUGACCCACCAAUGGAGAAUCAUCGAGGAGAGAGUCGCUACUCCUGGUGGUUCCCACCUCUUGGUUGUGUUCGGGAAAGGAGAAGGGAGGAAGAAAAGGAAAAUGUGUUCGAAUUUUGGAUUCCGAUUUGAAGCCUAGUUAGACUCAAUUAGUUUGAAGGAGAAUUUUGCAAUUAAGCUCUUGAAAAAGUACUUAUUAUAUAAAGA